Molecule: transfer RNA, 87 nt
Filed under: Candidatus Peregrinibacteria bacterium CG11_big_fil_rev_8_21_14_0_20_46_8
Lineage: Bacteria; Candidatus Peregrinibacteriota
Description: tRNA-Leu
Rfam family: tRNA
About the family: Transfer RNA (tRNA) molecules are approximately 80 nucleotides in length.
Source: RNAcentral
GCCCGGGUGGUGGAAUGGUAUACACGCGACACUUAAAAUGUCGUGAGCCAAAAGCUCUUGCCGGUUCAAGUCCGGCCCCGGGCACCA